This 1153-nucleotide ribosomal RNA is filed under the name Xenopsylla conformis conformis. RNAcentral describes it as "SSU rRNA". It matches the Rfam family "Eukaryotic small subunit ribosomal RNA", at positions 395 to 1470 of the family's 1831-position model. Lineage: Eukaryota; Metazoa; Arthropoda; Insecta; Siphonaptera; Pulicidae. The record is from RNAcentral.
CCUGAGAAACGGCUACCACAUCCAAGGAAGGCAGCAGGCGCGCAAAUUACCCACUCCCGGCACGGGGAGGUAGUGACGAAAAAUAACGAUACGGGACUCAUCCGAGGCCCCGUAAUCGGAAUGAGUACACUUUAAAUCCUUUAACGAGGAUCUAUUAGAGGGCCAGUCUGGUGCCAGCAGCCGCGGUAACUCCAGCUCUAAUAGCGUAUAUUAAAGUUGUUGCGGUUAAAAAGCUCGUAGUUGAAUCUGUGUCCCACACUGUCGGUUCACCGCUCGCGGUGUUCAACUGGCAUGUCUGUGGGACGUCCUACCGGUGGGCUUAGCCCGUCAAAAGGCGGCCCAACUCAAAAUCCUACCACGGUGCUCUUCACCGAGUGUCGAGGUGGGCCGGUACGUUUACUUUGAACAAAUUAGAGUGCUUAAAGCAGGCUCAUUCGCCUGAAUAUUGUGUGCAUGGAAUAAUGGAAUAGGACCUCGGUUCUAUUUUGUUGGUUUUCGGAAUUCCGAGGUAAUGAUUAAUAGGGACAACUGGGGGCAUUCGUAUUGUGACGUUAGAGGUGAAAUUCUUGGAUCGUCGCAAGACGGACAGAAGCGAAAGCAUUUGCCAAAUGUGUUUUCAUCAAUCAAGAACGAAAGUUAGAUUUUCGAAGGCGAUCAGAUACCGCCCUAGUUCUAACCAUAAACGAUGCCAGCUAGCGAUCCGCCGAAGUUCCUCCGAUGACUCGGCGGGCAGCUUCCGGGAAACCAAAGCUUUUGGGUUCCGGGGGAAGUAUGGUUGCAAAGCUGAAACUUAAAGGAAUUGACGGAAGGGCACCACCAGGAGUGGAGCCUGCGGCUUAAUUUGACUCAACACGGGAAACCUCACCAGGCCCGGACACCGGAAGGAUUGACAGAUUGAGAGCUCUUUCUUGAUUCGGUGGGUGGUGGUGCAUGGCCGUUCUUAGUUGGUGGAGCGAUUUGUCUGGUUAAUUCUGAUAACGAACGAGACUCUAGCCUGCUAAAUAGGCGUACUUUCCGGUAUCUCGAAGGCCCGCCGGCUGGGUUUCGGCCCGUGCUCGUGUGUGGUUUUUACUACCGGCGUACACAUAUAUCUUCUUAGAGGGACAGGUGGCAUUUAGUCGCACGAAAUUGAGCAAUAACAGGUCUGUGAUGC